This 468-nucleotide ribosomal RNA is filed under the name uncultured bacterium. Its description in RNAcentral is "partial 16S ribosomal RNA". It matches the Rfam family "Bacterial small subunit ribosomal RNA", at positions 28 to 507 of the family's 1533-position model. The record is from RNAcentral.
GACGAACGCUGGCGGCGUGCUUAACACAUGCAAGUCGAACGGAAAGGCCCUGCUUUUGUGGGGUGCUCGAGUGGCGAACGGGUGAGUAACACGUGAGUAACCUGCCCUUGACUUUGGGAUAACUUCAGGAAACUGGGGCUAAUACCGGAUAGGAGCUCCUGCUGCAUGGUGGGGGUUGGAAAGUUUCGGCGGUUGGGGAUGGACUCGCGGCUUAUCAGCUUGUUGGUGGGGUAGUGGCUUACCAAGGCUUUGACGGGUAGCCGGCCUGAGAGGGUGACCGGCCACAAUGGGACUGAGAUACGGCCCAGACUCCUACGGGAGGCAGCAGUGGGGAAUAUUGCACAAUGGGCGGAAGCCUGAUGCAGCAACGCCGCGUGCGGGAUGACGGCCUUCGGGUUGUAAACCGAUUUCGCCUGUGACGAAGCGUGAGUGACGGUAAUGGGUAAAGAAGCACCGGCUAACUACGUG